Unclassified non-coding RNA from Castor canadensis (American beaver), 159 nucleotides. Lineage: Eukaryota; Metazoa; Chordata; Mammalia; Rodentia; Castoridae. The record is from Ensembl.
UAGACUCCAAGGCAUCCUCUCAUCCACAGGUCAGGUACAGUGUGGGCAGGUGCACUGCCGACUGCCUUACACCGCGCCCCCUGUCCACCUCAAAGCCGAUAUGGACGGGCCACUCUCCAGCCGGGGUGAGAAGGUAAAUGGAAUCUGGUUGGGUCUGAU